AUGCAAGUCGAGCGGGGGAAGGUAGCUUGCUACCUAACCUAGCGGCGGACGGGUGAGUAAUGCUUAGGAAUCUGCCUAUUAGUGGGGGACAACAUUCCGAAAGGAAUGCUAAUACCGCAUACGUCCUACGGGAGAAAGCAGGGGAUCUUCGGACCUUGCGCUAAUAGAUGAGCCUAAGUCGGAUUAGCUAGUUGGUGGGGUAAAGGCCUACCAAGGCGACGAUCUGUAGCGGGUCUGAGAGGAUGAUCCGCCACACUGGGACUGAGACACGGCCCAGACUCCUACGGGAGGUAGCAGUGGGGAAUAUUGGACAAUGGGCGGAAGCCUGAUCCAGCCAUGCCGCGUGUGUGAAGAAGGCCUUAUGGUUGUAAAGCACUUUAAGCGAGGAGGAGGCUACUCUAGUUAAUACCUAGAGAUAGUGGACGUUACUCGCAGAAUAAGCACCGGCUAACUCUGUGCCAGCAGCCGCGGUAAUACAGAGGGUGCGAGCGUUAAUCGGAUUUACUGGGCGUAAAGCGUGCGUAGGCGGCUGAUUAAGUCGGAUGUGAAAUCCCUGAGCUUAACUUAGGAAUUGCAUUCGAUACUGGUCAGCUAGAGUAUGGGAGAGGAUGGUAGAAUUCCAGGUGUAGCGGUGAAAUGCGUAGAGAUCUGGAGGAAUACCGAUGGCGAAGGCAGCCAUCUGGCCUAAUACUGACGCUGAGGUACGAAAGCAUGGGGAGCAAACAGGAUU
RNAcentral lists this ribosomal RNA (730 nucleotides) under uncultured bacterium. Its description in RNAcentral is "bacterial SSU rRNA". It matches the Rfam family "Bacterial small subunit ribosomal RNA", at positions 55 to 779 of the family's 1533-position model. The record is from RNAcentral.